UACGGGGGGGGCAAGCGUUGUUCGGAAUUACUGGGCGUAAAGGGCGCGUAGGCGGCUUUGUAAGUUAGAGGUGAAAGCCCGGAGCUCAACUCCGGAACUGCCUUUAAGACUGCAUCGCUUGAACGUCGGAGAGGUAAGUGGAAUUCCGAGUGUAGAGGUGAAAUUCGUAGAUAUUCGGAAGAACACCAGUGGCGAAGGCGACUUACUGGACGACUGUUGACGCUGAGGUGCGAAAGCGUGGGGAGCAAACAGG
This 253-nucleotide ribosomal RNA is filed under the name uncultured bacterium. Its description in RNAcentral is "partial 16S ribosomal RNA". It matches the Rfam family "Bacterial small subunit ribosomal RNA", at positions 524 to 776 of the family's 1533-position model. The record is from RNAcentral.